GAAGGGGGCUAGCGUUGUUCGGAAUUACUGGGCGUAAAGCGAGUGUAGGCGGUUGUCAUAGUCAGGUGUGAAAGCCUUGAGCUCAACUCAAGAAUUGCACUUGAUACUGGGCGACUAGAGGACCGGAGAGGAUAGUGGAAUUCCCAGUGUAGUGGUGAAAUACGUAGAGAUUGGGAAGAACACCAGUGGCGAAGGCGGCUAUCUGGACGGUUACUGACGCUAAGACUCGAAAGCGUGGGGAGCAAACAGGAUUAGAUACCCUGGUAGUCCACGCCGUAAACGAUGGGUGCUAGACGUUGGCGAGCUUGCUCGUCAGUGUCGCAGCUAACGCGUUAAGCACCCCGCCUGGGGAGUACGGCCGCAAGGUUGAA
RNAcentral lists this ribosomal RNA (371 nucleotides) under uncultured bacterium. RNAcentral describes it as "bacterial SSU rRNA". It matches the Rfam family "Bacterial small subunit ribosomal RNA", at positions 527 to 898 of the family's 1533-position model. The record is from RNAcentral.